GCCGGGCAUGGUGGCGGGUGCCUGUAAUCCCAGCUACUCAGGAGGCUGAGGCAGGAGAAUCGCUUGAACUCAGGAGGCAGAGAUUGCAGUGAGCAAAGAUAGCACCACUGCACUCCCGCCUGGGUGACAGAGCAAGACUCCGUCUCAA
This 148-nucleotide non-coding RNA is filed under the name Nomascus leucogenys (northern white-cheeked gibbon). Lineage: Eukaryota; Metazoa; Chordata; Mammalia; Primates; Hylobatidae. The record is from Rfam by way of RNAcentral.